Thalassophryne amazonica is the source of this 97-nucleotide long non-coding RNA. RefSeq lists it as uncharacterized. The record is from RefSeq and is a predicted model, not a curated record. NCBI's taxonomy places the organism in Eukaryota, Metazoa, Chordata, Actinopteri, Batrachoidiformes, Batrachoididae. The transcript is spliced from 3 exons.
AACUGCAUUUUGUCAAUGGUAAGCUUAUCAACAUUUGCCCAGGGCACUGUGGGUUAGUGCAGACUAUGUUUUUGUUUGUUUAAGCUAUCAUUUCCAA